GCCAGCAGACUGCCAGACCUGCAGUCACAAGCAAAGGUUUCACAGUCUGGCUGUCACGGUGCAGAUAAUCUACGAACCCACAGACGUGCAGUCAGGUUUUGCAGCAAAGUGACUGUCACAUGAGCCUGUGCUUUAUGCCAAGGACUGGAGAUUGAAGCAGCAGCAGGCAGCAUGAAAUUGGUCUUUUCACCUCUGGGAGAGGCAGCACUGCACAGCCAGACUUUGGUGUACGGAGAUCUCCAGAAGGGCCUGCGUGGAAGGGGCCAAAGAGGAAAGGGGAUCAAAGCAACAGACUGCAUAGGAUCCAUCUCUAGAGCAAGCACAGCUCUACUGCUGGGUUUGCUGCCUCCUCGAGGCCCUCCUAGAAAGAAGAAGGCAGUGGUUUGCUGCUUGGCCACAAGGGCAAAGGUGGGUGUACAUCGUUUUUGUACCCUGCGGUUCCCCCGGGCACUGUGGAGCAACCAGCCUCAGCUGUUGGAGGGACUCUGGGCAGCUUCAGACAUCUAACACAAAUCGUGUAAAUGUCCGUGGUCAGCUAGGGAAGAGUCCUGAAGUCUAGCCCUGAGACUGAAAUCUGAGGCCAGCACACUGGCACAAAGUUGUCUGAAACACUGGGCAGCACAGCAGCAAAAACGGUGCUUUUGUCAAUUGCAAAUACAUACACACAGCUGCACUAUCCAUGGCACAGCAAACACACA
Cygnus olor (mute swan) is the source of this 698-nucleotide long non-coding RNA. RefSeq lists it as uncharacterized. Lineage: Eukaryota; Metazoa; Chordata; Aves; Anseriformes; Anatidae. The transcript has 2 exons. The record is from RefSeq and is a predicted model, not a curated record.